GAAAGCGAGACUCACAUCAAGAGAUGAUGGUGGUUGAGUGUUAAAAGCGGAAGGCCUUGGGGUCUUCUCGUUCACUUCCUGUAAUGUGUAGAGAAACGAAUAAACCAAGCAAGCAAAACACAAUUGUGGAUUCAAAAGACAGACAGGGAGACAUUGGGAUGCAACUUGAAUUCCAAAAGGAAAGGGCAUACCAUAGCUUGUGUAACC
RNAcentral lists this long non-coding RNA (207 nucleotides) under Brassica rapa (field mustard). RNAcentral's name for it is "long non-coding RNA (BRAP_LNC003972)". The record is from RNAcentral. Lineage: Eukaryota; Viridiplantae; Streptophyta; Magnoliopsida; Brassicales; Brassicaceae.